AGAUGUCUCUGAAGCGGCUCGAGUCUGGGUUUCCAUCCAGGUUUCAGCAUCUGAUGUUCGCAGGUUGUGCUCAGGGGUCCGGGAUGCUGAUCCAACACCGCUUAAUAAUCCUCACGCCUCAAUGGCUGCCCUAUAGAUAGACUCACCUCCACCACAGGAAUGUGCGAAUCUCCAUCACUGGCUCAGGGCCAUGAAAAGCCAAAAAAUAAGAAGCGUUGCAUCGACACUCCUGAAGUGGCCCUCCUUCGUUCAGAAGAGUCCAAGCGCGUUCACUGAACGAGAGUUGUUGCAAGAAACGGCUGCUCAAGUUUUUUAUCCGUGCCGGCAUCAGCUCAUGGUCUAUCCGCUGGUGGACGAACUCCUCCAUCUCCGCUGUCGACGUGCUUUCGGUGGGCCCGUUCCCUCCUCGCACCUCCGAUUGGCACGGUCGGCCACGUACGGUGCGACAGAAGUUCAACAUACGGACAACGCCGCUGCCAGUCUCCCACACGAGCCGCCACCUCCUCUAGCGACGUAUUUUGGCCCAAGCCCCAAUUACUUUUCUUGACAGUCGACGCGAUGGCUGUAGCUUGGGUCUGCCCCUCCAAUCCACGGAUCGCAGAGGAGCGUACUGCGCUGUGAACCUGAGAAGCUGAGUUUGAUUCCCGGCCAAUUCUUGUGAUCAGAAAAACCGAGAAUUCCUGUGUUCCGCCUGCCGGCCGAGGUUGCCACCUCCCCCUGGGUCCACUCGGCCUUUCAAGCGGCUACUCAGGUGCCAACGUGUAAGCGUGGGCACUGGCG
This is a long non-coding RNA of Lethenteron reissneri (Far Eastern brook lamprey), 780 nucleotides long. RefSeq lists it as uncharacterized. The record is from RefSeq and is a predicted model, not a curated record. Lineage: Eukaryota; Metazoa; Chordata; Hyperoartia; Petromyzontiformes; Petromyzontidae.